GUAAUUUGUCACCUGGAUUUUUUGGCUCUUAUGAAGAUAUUUUUGUGCAUGGAUAAGUUGUUCAAAUCAAUCUUUCUGCAAAGGACCAGCACUGGAAAAUCCUAUUCUACAAUCUUGCUGACACCAUCCUUCAAAGUCUUCAGUUAUUUAGAAUCUUUCCAUUCCUCCUGGAAGAAAAUGGAUAAACUUUCCCUUUAACCUCUGAAGUUUCACUGAAAAGUUAACUUACAAAGGAAGAAAAUCCCAGGACUCAGCCAGGGAAAAGCAGACUUCUCCAGGGCUUCCUUUCUGCUGAAAGCUGCAGACGGUUGGGUUGACCAGCUGCAGAGAGGAGCUACCCUCUCUUCUGAAAGCUAAACACUCUGCAGGAUGACCUGCCUGGAGGGGAGGCCCCCACUCCAGG
This 403-nucleotide long non-coding RNA is filed under the name Homo sapiens (human). Its description in RNAcentral is "HSALNT0135268". Lineage: Eukaryota; Metazoa; Chordata; Mammalia; Primates; Hominidae. The record is from RNAcentral.